Molecule: ribosomal RNA, 465 nt
Filed under: Vreelandella stevensii
Lineage: Bacteria; Pseudomonadati; Pseudomonadota; Gammaproteobacteria; Oceanospirillales; Halomonadaceae
Description: partial 16S ribosomal RNA
Rfam family: Bacterial small subunit ribosomal RNA
Source: RNAcentral
CCUACGGGUCGCUGCAGUGGGGAAUAUUGGACAAUGGGCGAAAGCCUGAUCCAGCCAUGCCGCGUGUGUGAAGAAGGCCUUCGGGUUGUAAAGCACUUUCAGUGGGGAAGAAAGCCUUGGGGCUAAUACCCUCGAGGAAGGACAUCACCCACAGAAGAAGCACCGGCUAACUCCGUGCCAGCAGCCGCGGUAAUACGGAGGGUGCGAGCGUUAAUCGGAAUUACUGGGCGUAAAGCGCGCGUAGGCGGUCUGAUAAGCCGGUUGUGAAAGCCCCGGGCUCAACCUGGGAACGGCAUCCGGAACUGUCAGGCUAGAGUGCAGGAGAGGAAGGUAGAAUUCCCGGUGUAGCGGUGAAAUGCGUAGAGAUCGGGAGGAAUACCAGUGGCGAAGGCGGCCUUCUGGACUGACACUGACGCUGAGGUGCGAAAGCGUGGGUAGCAAACAGGAUUAGAUACCCGUGUAGUC